Molecule: small nucleolar RNA, 81 nt
Organism: Nannospalax galili (Upper Galilee mountains blind mole rat)
Lineage: Eukaryota; Metazoa; Chordata; Mammalia; Rodentia; Spalacidae
Product: small nucleolar RNA SNORD79
Exons: 1
Source: RefSeq, a predicted model, not a curated record
UACUUUGUUAGUGAUGAUAACAAUCAUCAGAUGAGAAUCUCACUGAAAGAGACUGAGGAUUAAUUCUAAACUGAAACAGUA